CAGCAGUUCAAGUCGUAUUCCUUUUUAUUGGGUCUAAAACAUCCGUAGCUUGCCGUUUAAGUCUCUUGUGAAAUCCUACGUCUCAAGCGUAGGGCUUGCAGGAGAUACUGAGCGGCUAGAGAUCGGUAGACGUAAGGAGUACGCCGGAGGUAGUGGUAAAAUACGUUAAUCUUCGGUGGACUAACAAUGAGCGAAGGCACCUUACGAGGACGAAUCUGACAGUGAGGGACGAAGGCCAGGGGAGCGAACCGGAUUAGAUACCCGAGUAGUCC
This 272-nucleotide ribosomal RNA is filed under the name uncultured archaeon. RNAcentral describes it as "partial 16S ribosomal RNA". It matches the Rfam family "Archaeal small subunit ribosomal RNA", at positions 477 to 747 of the family's 1478-position model. The record is from RNAcentral.